Molecule: non-coding RNA, 141 nt
Filed under: Mycolicibacterium smegmatis
Lineage: Bacteria; Bacillati; Actinomycetota; Actinomycetes; Mycobacteriales; Mycobacteriaceae
Source: RNAcentral
CGGGGGCCUGCCGGCGGCAGUGCUGCUGUUACAGUGCGGAAGGCCGACCUCAGGGGAAUCCGGUGCGAAUCCGGAACUGACGCGCAACGGUGAGAGGCUGCCGCCUCGAGUCCGAUCACCUGUGGCCGGAUCUACUGUCGA